Molecule: non-coding RNA, 135 nt
Organism: Triticum urartu
Lineage: Eukaryota; Viridiplantae; Streptophyta; Magnoliopsida; Poales; Poaceae
Source: Rfam
AUAGUACUCCCACCGUUCCGAAUUAUUUGUCUUGGAUUUGUUUAGAUACAGAUGUAUCUAGACUCAUUUUAGUGCUAGAUACCUCCGUAUCAAGACAAAUCCAAGACAAGUAAUUUGAAAUAGAGGGAAUAGAAC